GAUGAACGCUGGCGGCGUGCUUAACACAUGCAAGUCGAACGAUGAAGCCCAGCUUGCUGGGUGGAUUAGUGGCGAACGGGUGAGUAACACGUGAGUAACCUGCCCUUAACUCUGGGAUAAGCCUGGGAAACUGGGUCUAAUACCGGAUAGGAGCGCCUACCGCAUGGUGGGUGUUGGAAAGCUUUAUCGGUUUUGGAUGGACUCGCGGCCUAUCAGCUUGUUGGUGAGGUAAUGGCUCACCAAGGCGACGACGGGUAGCCGGCCUGAGAGGGUGACCGGCCACACUGGGACUGAGACACGGCCCAGACUCCUACGGGAGGCAGCAGUGGGGAAUAUUGCACAAUGGGCGAAAGCCUGAUGCAGCGACGCCGCGUGAGGGAUGACGGCCUUCGGGUUGUAAACCUCUUUCAGUAGGGAAGAAGCGAAAGUGACGGUACCUGCAGAAGAAGCACCGGCUAACUACGUG
Molecule: ribosomal RNA, 466 nt
Filed under: uncultured bacterium
Lineage: Bacteria
Description: partial 16S ribosomal RNA
Rfam family: Bacterial small subunit ribosomal RNA
Source: RNAcentral